AACGAGCGCUGGCGGCAUGCCUAACACAUGCAAGUCGAACGAGACCUUCGGGUCUAGUGGCGCACGGGUGCGUAACGCGUGGGAACCUGCCCUUAGGUUCGGAAUAACUCCCCGAAAGGGGUGCUAAUACCGGAUAAUGUCUUCGGACCAAAGAUUUAUCGCCUUUGGAUGGGCCCUCGUUGGAUUAGCUAGUUGGUAGGGUAAAAGCCUACCAAGGGGACGAUCCAUAGCUGGUCUGAGAGGAUGAUCAGCCACACUGGGACUGAGACACGGCCCAGACUCCUACGGGAGGGAGCAGUGGGGAAUAUUGGACAAUGGGCGAAAGCCUGAUCCAGCAAUGCCGCGUGAGCGAUGAAGGCCUUAGGGUUGUAAAGCUCUUUUACCCGGGAUGAUAAUGACAGUACCGGGAGAAUAAGCGCCGGCUAACUACGUG
Molecule: ribosomal RNA, 433 nt
Filed under: uncultured bacterium
Lineage: Bacteria
Description: partial 16S ribosomal RNA
Rfam family: Bacterial small subunit ribosomal RNA
Source: RNAcentral